UACAGAGGGUGCAAGCGUUGUUCGGAAUUAUUGGGCGUAAAGCGCGUGUAGGCGGCUUUGCAAGUCGGGUGUGAAAGCCCUCAGCUCAACUGAGGAAGUGCGCCCGAAACUGCAGAGCUUGAGUACCGGAGAGGAUGGCGGAAUUCCCCAAGUAGAGGUGAAAUUCGUAGAUAUGGGGGAGGAACACCGGUGGCGAAGGCGGCCAUCUGGACGGAUACUGACGCUGAGACGCGAAAAGCGUGGGGAGCAAACAGG
This 255-nucleotide ribosomal RNA is filed under the name uncultured bacterium. RNAcentral describes it as "partial 16S ribosomal RNA". It matches the Rfam family "Bacterial small subunit ribosomal RNA", at positions 524 to 776 of the family's 1533-position model. The record is from RNAcentral.